RNAcentral lists this long non-coding RNA (6772 nucleotides) under Sorghum bicolor (sorghum). Its description in RNAcentral is "long non-coding RNA (SBIC_LNC003589)". Lineage: Eukaryota; Viridiplantae; Streptophyta; Magnoliopsida; Poales; Poaceae. The record is from RNAcentral.
GGCGGAGUAGAGAGGGCCCCUCACCGAGAUGCACCACGACUGCAGGUAGAACACCGCACCAGACCCAAACACGCCCUGCACUCACGACGAGUCUGUUUGUUAGCCAACAAGUUCGGUCUCAUCUUCCGAUUGCAUAGUAGUUCCUGAAACGGAGUGGCACUGACCGCGAAGGCGUAGCAGGAGAGCUCGAAGAGCGAGUGGAUCCUCCACGCGCUACGGUCCGGCAGCAGGAAGAAAGCGACCACGGCGGAUUGCAGGGUGGACAGGAAGCAGGUCCAGGCCGACAGGCACAGAGGAUCCAUGUACCGUUGGCAGAUAGGACCCUGGAAACAAAAUUACCAAGCCUUUUCUUGUACAAGUAGUAAAAUUCUGACGGUUGUUUAGUCUAGGCAUAUAAUGGUCGCAUAGGGGAUUCACCUGCAAUAUGAGCCACAAGGACCAGCAGGAGCUGCUGCCGACGAGGAAGAGCGCACCCAUCACCCAGUUGUCGCUGCUAAACUUAUGCAGAAUCAUGGACGGGUCACUGAGAAAUUGCAUCGGCAGCUUUGGACCUUUGAAGAACGCGAUGGUGAUGGCUCCUCCCACGCAGACAGCCGUGCCUAAGAUCUUAGCCGUACUACUUACUUCUCUGAUGUUCACUCUUUCCUGCCUUUUGAUGAAUUUCAUGCAAAGAUUGACAUUAGCACUAACAUUAGCAAUGCUUUUCUCUGGCCUAGAAAAUUACAGUCAGGGAAAAACGUCUCUCAAAAGAAGCAAAUGUCAAUUCCAAACACGCUAGAUGGAAUGGUUAUUUAAUGUUAGAAUUUAUAUGAAUAGCUCCCCUAAAUUCAUACGAAGAAAUCCUAAUAAAUUUCAAAAACCCAAUACAUGUGUUCAUUAAUGGGCUUUAAUGUUUAAACCCAUAAGUAGAGGUGUGAGGUAUAAUAUCUAUUAGUACUAUAUUGCUAACUGAUGUGGAGGCAUAUAUAUUGGAAAUUGCAAUUGCAAAAAUCCUAAGGUAGUAUUUUCGUCUUCUUGCUAUUGUGCUGUCGGCGGCCGUAGUCUCUCUAUCCUGACCGUCUGCAUGUACCGGUGUUCGGGAGAACAGGUUCAGGAUAGGACGAAUAAGAUUUUUGGAAAACGCUCUUCACGCGACUGCUCUCGACUUCUAUGGCGGGUCGUCUACCAUCCAACGGCGUCCCCACCAGCACCUUCAUCACCUGCGAUGAUGUCUCUCUCUAAGGUACACACCUUGUGAACUAAUGUAUCGGUUGAUGUUGUUUAAUCUAACUAGUAGAUGAUCUAUGAUUACACUAGUUCUUGUAUUCAUGUUGUUAAAUUAUGAUAGUAUACGAGCUAUGCUUAUACCAGUUUUCUGAGAUCUUCAUGAUUUAUAUUCUGGUUUUAGUCUAAAAAUUGCUAAUUAUUUAAUCUUUAUGAUGAUACUUUUUUUUAAUAAAAGGAACAACUUCUAUCUAAUCAAUGGUCUGUAAUUAUUAUCUUGUGCUGAAUAAAAAGAAGAAAUAGAUAGAAAAAACACUCCUGAAUCUAGUCAAUUAUUCAGAUGUGCCCAUAAAAGUAGGAUUUAUGUACAUGUGUUCAUUAAAGUGAAUAUGCGUGCAUUAUUAGUGUCUGCAUUAUACUGUAUAAUUCUUAAAAAAAACAGCCGUCCUAAUGAGCGGAGAGGAGUAACAUGAACCCAUGAUGCAUUGCUGUACAAGUUUAAUGAACCAAAAAUGUAUUUUUAGAGCUCGUGGGGAUAUACCCCAUCCAAAGUUCAGUGUUGAUGAUAUAUUUAGCUCUUUUAUUUAGGAAUCUGUGGCAAAUCUGCAAUAGGUGAUAAGCAUUAGUGAAUUUAGCAGAUUAAGAAACAAAAUGUAGUUUUCUAUUAUUAUAAUUGAGUUGUCUGUAAUGGUUGGUCGAAAGUAGAGAUCGAGACCAAACGGCACUGCACACAGUGAUCGCCUGAUCGCAAAAGACAAAGAUAGUAUGCAAUGCAUGUGAGUUGCUAGGUGACACGCCAUCCCAUGUCAUCAUAGAGACUAAUAUAACAAGCAAGCCUUGUGUUCGUUAGUGGCCUCAGAUCAUUGGCUAGUCAUUGUAACUACGAUCCCUCAAAAUAACCUAUCGAGCAACUGUUGUGCAAAAAUACACCUAGAACUACUGACAAAUAGUUCAAACUCUAAUAUCUUCUUAAUGGAACACUUUUCUAGUUACUCACCCAACGGCUACUGCCAUGACGAAGGUGAUCGCCGGUAUGAGGUUCGUCAUGGUCGUGGCCAGCGACGACGUCCCCAGGUGUAACCCUUGGUAGCACAGGUUCUGAUUCGCUGUAGCUCUGUUGCACAAAGAAACUGUCAGAGUUGCCAACUGCCAAGAACAGAGGAAGCAUGAUGUUCGAGCGAGCAAGAUUUUGUUGAGAAGCUAACAAGAAUUUAUAGGUACUCGCACCCAAACAAAGCCGCCAGAAACACCAAAAGGAAAGCUUUCAUUCUCAUUCCCACUCUCAUCUCCUUCAGCCUCGCCCUGAUGAGUUCAGACAUUAAAUAAUCACAGCUACUAAGAUCACACAAGCGGUUGGGGAAGAGAAAGAAGAGCAGCAACACUGGUGGAUCAACUCGUAUCGUACCGAUUGGCGAUGAUGGCUAUCGGGGCAAGGACAAGGGUGGCGACGGCCUGCCUGUAGACGACGAAGACCAUGGGGCUCAUGCCCCGCCCGAACGCUGCCUUGACCCACAGCGUCAUGGCCGCGAAGAUGCACUGCGUCGUCACCAUGGCCACGCACGGCUUGUAGUUGUAGCCCUCCGCACCCGCACGGGUGCCUCCGCCGGCCAUGUUGGGCCAGGCACUGGAGUGUGUCGAUCUGCGCGCGCGCCGGAGCUGAGAACGAGGGACAGAGAAAGGGGAGGAGGAGUUGGAGGAGGAAGAGUUGCAAGACCGUGCUAUGGAACUGUCUUCAUCUGUGGUGGCCAUCACCCAUCAGAGCCAGCCCCAGCCAGGCUUUGUAAACGCCUGGCCUGGGGGUGGAGUGGGGGGGAACAGGGGAAUCAUCGCAUCAGAGUGACUACAUCGUACGGUUGGCAGAUAGCCAUGCACCGCCCACCGCCACCCAAGACGUCUUCUUUGCCGAUUUGGCGACAACCAGGAGAUAUCGAUUUAUUUCAUUAAGAAUUUAAUGCUGUAUAUAAAUAUUAGUGCAUAUCUAUUACUCCCUCAACUUAUAGAGUUAUUCUAAGUCAAACUUUUAAAACUUGGACAAUUAGUGUGGUCGCUCUCUUUUGUUGGGAUCUCCUCCGUAGGAAUCGGGCGGCACCCUGUUGACGAGGGGGGUAGAUUGUGCUGCCCUGUGCUCUUGUCUUCUGCCAGUGCAAGAGGAAAAUAAUCCUCCGAUUGAUCAGCCGCGUUGCGGAGGUCCACACUCGCAGUCACAGGUCCGCUCCUUGCCGGCACACGAAAAGGAGGAAGGUCAGGACGGAGGCGGCGGCGUAGACGCACGGAAAUGUUCUGAUCGGGCAUAGAAGGAAGGGAUCAAGGGGACAGAUGAAUAGUUUGGUGCACGGGCUUGGGUUUGGACUGGCCAGGCCCAAGUGGGACCCAGGAGAAAAUAAUCAAUAAAUUAUUUAAUUAAUUAGCUUGAUUGCUUUGAGAUCAGUGAAAUUUUUAGAAAAAGGAGUAUUGGAGCAGUAGCCAUUUUCAUAAGGUACUCAUUUUAUAUCAUAGAUAUUGAUGCUCUUUUUCUAUAAAGUUAAUCAAAGUUAAAAGAGUUUGACCGGCACGGAUUCUAGAAGUUGAAACUUUCAGAAACAAAGGGAAUAUAUUACUUCGAUCAAAAUUAUAUCUGUAAUUUACAACUAAACUUAAAAGGCCCUAGGACUUCAAAUCAACGCUUGGCGGGAUCCAAAAAAUCGAGACAUUGAUGUUAUAUAGUAUAAAUAUCACCCUCUGUCCUAACUUACAUAUGAUUUUAGCUUUUCUAGAAACUAGCUUUUGAAUAUACGGCAUUGUCUAGAUACAUAAUAAAAGUUGUUAAUAUAAAAAAACCCAAAACAACCGAUAAAUUGGAACAGAGGGAGUACAAUCGUGCUAAAAUCUAUGGAUCAUCUCUUCCACAAACAGUGUUUACAAAGUUACUUGAUGACAACAACACUCGAAGUGUGGCUUCGCACCUCACUGCACACAUAUCAUAAUUCAUUUGGAGGGUGAUUGGUUGGCCGCAUAUGCUUGGCUAGGUUGGUGUAAUGCAAGUUUUGUUUGUUUGUUUGGUUGUACUAUCUUCUAAGCCUAGCUGGCAGGAUGCAAAAGAGGCCUCUCAUCCUACAUUUAGGCGUUUUUGGAUAGCCAGGCUCACUAGAUGCAGGUACUUACUCAGCAAAUGUUUUUAUUAGUGUAAUUAGUAAGUAUCAAGUGAUAUUAAUGUGUUUUUUUUAAAAAAAAUAUAUGUGUAAUUUAGAACUAAACUUAAAAGGCCAUAUGACUUCAAAUCCAAACACGUGAAACGCUUGAUCAGUUGGCACACGGCCACGCAUGGUGGGAUCCAAAAAAUUGAGACAAUAAUGAUGUUAUCUAUCCCUAAUAUUUAAUUGUAAAAAUUUCAGUCUGCCCUUCGAAUUUCUGUCUGCCACCCAUGCCAUUUUUUUUACCGUCUCCGUCUCUGAGCGGAGAACCUGAUGACAAACAAUUUAAUCCGUUGUGCAGAGGCCCUGAUCUGCUGGCCUGGGUGCCGAACUGCAGGCUGCCGCUGGCAUGGCGACAGGAGGCAGCGGAGGAGAACAUGGAGGGAAGCGAGUAGGAGGCCCAACUCACCUGCCGCCAAGGAGCUCGCCCGUUGCGGAGGCCCAGCGUGCUCACCGAGGGUGGAAUCAGCGCAACAGCGGCUAUGAAACCCUAGCCACGUCCGCCGCGCCGCCGCCGCACCGCCAGGCCGGUCCGCCUUGGGUUUUGUUCUUGGGAGAGAGGAGAGGAGCGUCGGGCAUAGAGAGACAACGUCGGGGGAGAUGGAGGGCCACACGUGGGGUAGGCGACGGACGGGCUGAGGCAUGGUUUUUUUUGCAUAUAUUAUAUAUCUAUCCUUCUAUCAUUUAAUAUUUAAUUAUAAAAAUACCAGUUCACCUGCUUUUCUGUCCGCCACCCACGUCAGCCUUUUUUAACUGUCUUCGUCUCGUCGUCGAGCUCCGACCAGUCCCCGGCGCCUCCUGCGCCAUAGUGGUAGCUAGGUUGGUAGUCGUUGUCUAGGAUCUUGGACCAGUCCAAGAUCUUCACUAGCAGCGACCCGUGCACCGUCCGGCGCCAGUUUCGCUGGCGACGCCUUCCGUGCGGCUAGAAACUGGCCUGCCCUGGCCGUCUCAGGAGGCUCGAACGCGCCCUAGAUGUCCGACUCGUCGAAGUGCUUGCCUGUGCCACCGGCGGUAGCUACCGAGCUCGCUGUUGGCACAAUGACGUCGUACGACGCCUGCGAGAAGUGGGUGUGGGUCUCAUCUCACCUAUAUUAGGACUUCCACUCCAUAUUGGUUUAAACGCAAGUUAUUCUAACUCGUAUGAGCACGAGUUAUAUGUGUCCAGAUAAAAGAAACUCUCCAUCGUUCGGUAGUUAGAGGAAGACAGACAAAAAAUGGAUGGACGAAAAAAAAAGCCUAAAUUUUUGCCUCUUCAUUAUUAGGUAGGUAUACAUAUAUAUACAAUUGGAUAAUAAAGAUAUAAAUAUAAAUUUGAUAGUUAUUUUUUUUUCUGUUGCAACGCACGAGUAUUUUUGCUAGUACAGCCGUCCUAACUUACAUAUGGUUUUAGCUUUUAUAGAAACUAACAUGUUCCGAGUUGGUCUAAAUGGGCCUUGUUAUGUCCAUCUGAUUCUACUGGGACAAUGCUUGCGUCUUGGACCUGGCCCGAUGAGGCCUAUUUUUAGGACUGUGAAGCGGCGGCAUGUGCGCCAUGUAGUCUCAGCAGGCCCAGACCCAGUCAGCCCACAAGCUAGAGAGAGUUGGAGACGACGGCGAGCGGACCGGACUGGAGUUGGAGACGACAGGGGCGGCGGGGGUUUGCCGCGUUGAUUAGCAAAAUCUUGCGGAUAAUACACAUCGGCAGCACGUAGAUCAAGUCAAACUCCACCAACCGGCCAUUUUGAAACUGCUAGAGUACUGUACAUGACCAAAAAAAAUGGGACUGCGCGCACUGCGCCAGUAGCAUAACGACGACCCUGAAACACGGCGCACGCACAGAACACUGAGGAGCAAAAAAUCCCCUCUACUUCGCCGUUGGAUCGCCGCCGGCCAGGAGGGGCUCGGCGAUGCCAUUGCCGACGUCGACCAUCGAAUCCGACCGCGCCGACGUCUUCUCCAAGUCGUCGUCCGAGUGCUGCUCUGGCUCCUGGUCCUGCAGCCCCCGCCUCUUGGCGUCGCCCGCUUUGCCCCACAGCACCACGUACAGCCCCGCGAUGACGGCGAUCGCGCCCAGCAAGCUGGAGAUCCAUCGCUCGGUCAGCCACAAAUAAAAGAUCGAUGUCAUCGCUCGGUCAUUCACAUGCAUAUUACGAACCUGCCGACGUGCAGCUCUUCACGGAGGACGGCGGCGGCGAAGACGGUGGUGAUCACGGUGCAGAGCGGGUUGAACAUGGCGGAGUAGAGCGGGCCUCUCACCGAGAUGCUCCACGACUGCAGGUAGAACGUGACGCCUGACCCCAACACCCCCUGCACAUUACAUCGCCAUGGCAUCGAUCACCUCCAAGGUCGUUCCUCCUCUCCGACGGGGCGGCGACGGGCAGAGAGAGGAAGAGGAAGCAUGCAUGGUUGACGACAGUUAC